GCAUGGGUGGUUCAGUGGUAGAAUGCUUGCCUGCUACGCGGGCGGCCAUUGCAUCGGCCGGGUUCGAUUCCCGGCCGAUGCA
Molecule: non-coding RNA, 82 nt
Organism: Trichonephila clavata
Lineage: Eukaryota; Metazoa; Arthropoda; Arachnida; Araneae; Nephilidae
Source: the annotation of a GenBank genome assembly